RNAcentral lists this small nuclear RNA (102 nucleotides) under Cairina moschata (Muscovy duck). The record is from RNAcentral. Lineage: Eukaryota; Metazoa; Chordata; Aves; Anseriformes; Anatidae.
UCGCUUUGGCAGCACAUAUACUAAAAUUAGAUCAAUACAGGAAGAUUAGCAAGGCUCCUGCGCAAGGAUGACACACAAAUUCAUGAAGUGUUCCAUGCUUUU